AUAGACUCUAUUUUUCAGUUUUUAGAUACAACAUUUGACUCUUCGUCUUAUUUAAAACUUUUCUAUGAUUAAUAAUAAUAAUAAUAUUAUUAUUAGAUAAUAGAACAUGAAAAGGACUUUAUGGGUGACUAAUAUUUUUAAUUUUUUUAUAUUUUUUUCAAAUAAGACGGGUGGUAAAUGUUGGACAAAAAAACCCAAAAAUGAAAUCUCU
Molecule: microRNA precursor, 211 nt
Filed under: Oryza rufipogon (brownbeard rice)
Lineage: Eukaryota; Viridiplantae; Streptophyta; Magnoliopsida; Poales; Poaceae
Description: MIR812 microRNA precursor family
Rfam family: MIR812 microRNA precursor family
Source: Rfam by way of RNAcentral